AUUCAUUCAUUCAUUGAAGAUAAGAAAGAAUAAGAAAUUAAGCAAGAGAGAGAAAGGGAAAGGGUGAAAGAGCUUGAGGAAGUUAUGGGAUAUGGGAGGAUCGGUAAAACAGAUCUAAUUCAUCUGAAUUGAAUAAUUUCUUUACCGAUUCCACCCAUUCCUAUUAUUUCCUUUUGUUCCUCUCUUUCCACUCUCCUCUCCAUUUCUCCAACCACCUUUCUGUUUGUAUAUGUCUCAGAAUCAGAAUCAGGGUAACGUUCAGGGUGAUGAGAAGAACAAAGAAAAAUCGCCUAUGACGUGGCACGAAAUUGUUUGCGAUGGUUCCGAAAAAAAGAAGGGUUCGAAGGUGCCGGUGUACAAUCACUCGAGGUUGAGGAGGAGCGGGAGGACAUGCUAUUUCGGUCCUCAACCAAAACAAGGUACCGCAGGGACUGUAGUGGGCAACCCGGUUGAUUUGUGUGACGAGGAAGAAUGAAUAUAAUGGCUUUUAAUGCCUAAUUGUUUUGGAUUUUUUUAUGUUUUAUUUUUGUGUCGCGCACAUUUUGUUUGACAUUAUGGUACUUAGAAUAAAAUCGAAUUUGGAAUAA
This is a long non-coding RNA of Medicago truncatula (barrel medic), 587 nucleotides long. RefSeq lists it as uncharacterized. Lineage: Eukaryota; Viridiplantae; Streptophyta; Magnoliopsida; Fabales; Fabaceae. The transcript is spliced from 2 exons. The record is from RefSeq and is a predicted model, not a curated record.